Molecule: long non-coding RNA, 377 nt
Filed under: Ananas comosus (pineapple)
Lineage: Eukaryota; Viridiplantae; Streptophyta; Magnoliopsida; Poales; Bromeliaceae
Description: long non-coding RNA (ACOM_LNC026343)
Source: RNAcentral
GAUAUAAAUAUUCUACAUUGGUCACAUAAUUAAAUUUAUAAAUGUGAAACAGAAACAAACUUGAGGUUAAUUUUAUGGUCAAAAGCCAGAAUAUAUACAUUUAUAGGGGAACUAGGCUGGAGUACUAUCAGUAGCACCAAGCUAUUGGCACUAUUAAUUUUUUAGCUCUUAGAUUGAAAAAUGGGUGGUUAGGAUGAUGUGGGCCCCCUAGAGUUUAGUUAGUGGUUGGUUGAAUAGUAUAAUCUAACGGGUAAAAAUAAUCAGAAGGUUAAAUCUUACGGUGGAAAACCCGAUAGCACAAAAUUCUUGGUGCUAUUAAUAGUACCCUAGCCGGACUCCUUAUAGGGAGACAUAGAUUUAAUAAGAAGGGCAUGAUU